Molecule: ribosomal RNA, 468 nt
Filed under: uncultured bacterium
Lineage: Bacteria
Description: partial 16S ribosomal RNA
Rfam family: Bacterial small subunit ribosomal RNA
Source: RNAcentral
GACGAACGCUGGCGGCGUGCUUAACACAUGCAAGUCGAACGGAAAGGCCCUGCUUUUGUGGGGUGCUCGAGUGGCGAACGGGUGAGUAACACGUGAGUAACCUGCCCUUGACUUUGGGAUAACUUCAGGAAACUGGGGCUAAUACCGGAUAGGAGCUCCUGCUGCAUGGUGGGGGUUGGAAAGUUUCGGCGGUUGGGGAUGGACUCGCGGCUUAUCAGCUUGUUGGUGGGGUAGUGGCUUACCAAGGCUUUGACGGGUAGCCGGCCUGAGAGGGUGACCGGCGACAUUGGGACUGAGAUACGGCCCAGACUCCUACGGGAGGCAGCGGUGGGGAAUAUUGCACAGUGGGCGGAAGCCUGAUGCAGCAACGCCGCGUGCGGGAUGACGUCCUUCGGGUUGUAAACCGCUGUCGCCUGUGACGAAGCGUGAGUGACGGUAAUGGGUAAAGAAGCACCGGCUAACUACGUG